Molecule: ribosomal RNA, 253 nt
Filed under: uncultured bacterium
Lineage: Bacteria
Description: partial 16S ribosomal RNA
Rfam family: Bacterial small subunit ribosomal RNA
Source: RNAcentral
UACAGAGGUCUCAAGCGUUGUUCGGAUUCAUUGGGCGUAAAGGGUGCGUAGGCGGCAGGGUAAGUCUGAUGUGAAAUCCCGGGGCUCAACCCCGGAACUGCAUUGGAUACUGCCUUGCUUGAGUACUGGAGAGGAGAUUGGAAUUUACGGUGUAGCAGUGAAAUGCGUAGAUAUCGUAAGGAAGACCAGUGGCGAAGGCGAAUCUCUGGACAGUUACUGACGCUGAGGCACGAAGGCCAGGGGAGCAAACGGG